UACGGGGGGAGCAAGCGUUGUUCGGAUUUACUGGGCGUAAAGGGCGCGUAGGCGGCCUUCUAAGUCGAACGUGAAAUCCCCGGGCUCAACCCGGGAACUGCGUCCGAUACUGGAAGGCUUGAAUUCGGGAGAGGGAUGCGGAAUUCCAGGUGUAGCGGUGAAAUGCGUAGAUAUCUGGAGGAACACCGGUGGCGAAGGCGGCAUCCUGGACCGGCAUUGACGCUGAGACGCGAAAGCGUGGGGAGCGAACAGG
This 253-nucleotide ribosomal RNA is filed under the name uncultured bacterium. RNAcentral's name for it is "partial 16S ribosomal RNA". It matches the Rfam family "Bacterial small subunit ribosomal RNA", at positions 524 to 776 of the family's 1533-position model. The record is from RNAcentral.